This 2591-nucleotide ribosomal RNA is filed under the name Chloropicon sp. RCC4434. RNAcentral describes it as "large subunit ribosomal RNA". It matches the Rfam family "Bacterial large subunit ribosomal RNA". The record is from RNAcentral. Lineage: Eukaryota; Viridiplantae; Chlorophyta; Chloropicophyceae; Chloropicales; Chloropicaceae.
GCCGUCUUUAAUGGAUACCUAGGCAAAACAAUAUGAGGACGUAUUCACACGAAACACAAACGUGGAAUCCUCAGGGAAACCGUUGAUAUCUUACUCAGUGAAUUGAAACAUCUUAGUAACUGAGGAUCAAAAUCAACCGAGGAAGUCGUGAGUAGUGGCGAAUGAAAGCGAUUGUUUUUAGUCAAAUUUUGGGAAAUUUAGUCUUGAUAGAAUAAAAAGAUUGGAAAGUCUUUGCCUUAGAAAGUAAUAGCCUUGUGUUCCUAUCAUGCCAAAUAUUAUUGUAGAGAGUUUAUGUUUUGAGUAGGGCGAUGAUUCAUUUGUCUGAACGAAGGGGAACCAUCCUCUAAACCUAAUCAAAUUGUUUUGACCGAUAGUGUAAAGUACCGUGAGGGAAGGGGUGAAAAAUCUUCUUGUUAAGUAGUGAAAAUUGGAAAUUGAAGAUGAACAAGCAGUCGAAGGCAUCUUUAGUGCCAACGGCGUACCUUUUGCAUAAUGGAUCUGCGAGUUAUUGGUGUAUGCAAGCUUAAACGCGCGAGUUGUUUUGAAAGCUUAUAGUAAGUUUACAUCAUUAGACCCGAAACUGAGUGAUCUAAGUAUGAGCAGCUUGAAGGGUUGUGAAAGCAAGCUGGAGGAGCGAACCCACAAAUGUGGCAAUAUUUGGGGAUGACUUGUGCUUAGGAGUGAAAGGCUAAUCAAACUCAGAGAUAGCUGGUUUUCUUCGAAAUCUAUUGAGGUAGAGCGUCUUUCUUAGGUCAUCGAGGGUAGAGCACUUCUUGGGUAUGGGGGGCGUAAAGCUUUACUGUGCUCAGGAAAACUUCGAAUAGCGUUGACUAGAAAGGCAGACAGAGUUUGGGCGGAAAGGUGCGAACUCAAAAGGGAAAGAGCCCAGAUCACAUGCUAAGGUCUUUAAUGUCUUUCUGAGUGGGAAAAGAUGUUCGAAAAUUGAAAUAUGUUAGAGGUUGGCUUAGAGGCAGUCAUUCUCGUAAGAAAGCGUAAUAGCUCAUGCCAAAAGUUUUCGAAGUCUGAAAAUGUAACGAGGCUCAAGAAAUGAAACCGAAGCAUUGAAUUCCUCUUAUUGAGGGAUGGUAGAAGAACGUUGUGUAUGUCUCAUAAAAAAGUUGUUAAAUUUUAUUUAGGACAUCACAAGUGACUAUGCAGAUAUGAGUAACAUGAAAUUAUGUGUAAUACAUAAUCACCGAAACUCUAUAGGUUUUUUAAUGAAGUCAUACGGCCCCUAAGGUAAAAUUCGAUAGAAUUUGUCGAUGGGUAAGUUUAAGAAAGUUUGGUCUUUUCAAAUACAGUCUUUCUCAAUGAAUUGAAAGUUUGUUUUUAAGGUCAACGAGAAAACCCUUAAACAUGUAUACCGUACUAAAACCAACGCAGGUAGAGAGGUAGAAAUCUACUCAGGUGAAUUGAAUAAUCCAUCUUUAAGGAACUCGGCAAAUUGACUCCGUAACUUCGGGAGAAGGAGGACCUGUCGCUUAAACUUAAACGACGGGUGGCACAGAAUUGGGAGGAACAACUGUUUACCAAAAACACAGGACUUUGCCGAAAGCGAAAGCUGAUGUAUAAAGUCUGACGCCUGCCCGGUGCUGGAUGUUGAAAGGGAGGGGUGCGUGCAUUUAAUGUACAAGCUCUGAACGGAUAGCCCAGUAAACGGCGGUCGUAACUCUAACGAUCCUAAGGUAGCGAAAUUCCUUGUUCACUAAUUAUGGACCUGCAUGAAUGGCGUAAUGAUUCCUCCGCUGUCUCAAAGAUGGAUUUGGUGAAAUUGAAUUCUCCGUGCAGAUGCGGAGUAUUGGCGCCUAGACGGGAAGACCCCGUGCUUCUUUACUACAGCUUUUCAUUGAUUUUCUGUUUUCGAUGUGCAGGCUAAGUGGGAGAGCUUAAGCAAUUAAGUUCAAACGUGAGAUACCACUCUUUGUCUAUGGGAAAUCUUAUUCGAUUAUCGAAAAAAGUGAAUGGUGGGUAGUUUGACUGGGGCGGUCGCCUCCUAAAGAGUAACGGAGUGCGUGCGAAGGCAGGCUCAAGCGGAAUGGAAACCCGCCUGAGAGCAUAAUGGUAUAAGCCUGCCUAACUGUGAGAUAGACAUAUCAAGCAGAGAUGAAAGUCGGUCAUAGUGAUCCGGAAAGUGAUUAUGGAAUCCUUUUCGCUCAACGAAUCAAAGAAACGCCGGGGAUAACAGCCUAAUUAUUCCCAAGAGCUCUUAUCGACGGAAUAGAUUGGGACCUCGAUGUUGACUCAUUGCAUCCUGGUGGUGGAGAAGCUGCCAAGGGUUGGACUGUUCGUCCAUUAAAGCAGUACGCGAGUUGAGUUCAGAACGUCGUGAGACAGUUCGGUUCCUAUCUAGCGCCAAUGUGUUUAAUAUUGAAAGAACGAUUCCUUAGUACGAGAGGACCGGGAAUCAGGAACCUCUGGUGUUUCGGUUGUUUUGUCAGAAGCAUCGCCGAGAAGCUAUGUUCCUCUAGAGAACCGCUGAAAACAUAUAAGUGGGAAACUAAUCUUAAAACGAGUAUUUUAUUUUUGUAGAAGAAGAGUACGUCGAUAGAUAAGAAUAUUCUUUUUGGCAACAAAAUUAUUUCUUAUACUAA